GGAAAUAAAAGUCGUAACAAGGUCUCCGUUGGUGAACCAGCGGAGGGAUCAUUACCGAGUUUACAACUCCCAAACCCAAUGUGAACGUUACCAAACUGUUGCCUCGGCGGGAUCUCUGCCCCGGGUGCGUCGCAGCCCCGGACCAAGGCGCCCGCCGGAGGACCAACCAAAACUCUUAUUGUAUACCCCCUCGCGGGUUUUUUUUAUAAUCUGAGCCUUCUCGGCGCCUCUCGUAGGCGUUUCGAAAAUGAAUCAAAACUUUCAACAACGGAUCUCUUGGUUCU
This 284-nucleotide unclassified non-coding RNA is filed under the name plant metagenome. Its description in RNAcentral is "partial contains small subunit ribosomal RNA, internal transcribed spacer 1, and 5.8S ribosomal RNA". The stretch from base 1 to 54 matches the Rfam family "Eukaryotic small subunit ribosomal RNA", at positions 1778 to 1831 of the family's 1831-position model. The record is from RNAcentral.